Molecule: ribosomal RNA, 577 nt
Filed under: uncultured bacterium
Lineage: Bacteria
Description: bacterial SSU rRNA
Rfam family: Bacterial small subunit ribosomal RNA
Source: RNAcentral
CCGUUCAAUACUGCGGGACUUGAGGGCAGAAGAGGGGGGUGGAAUUGCUGGUGUAGUGGUGAAAUGCGUAGAUAUCAGCAGGAACACCUGUGGCGAAAGCGGCCCCCUGGUCUGCUCCUGACACUCAGACGCGAAAGCUAGGGGAGUGAACGGGAUUAGAAACCCCGGUAAUCCUAGCCGUAAACGAUGGAUGCUAGGUGUGGGUGGUAUUGACCCCAUCCGUGCCGAAGCCAACGCGUUAAGCAUCCCGCCUGGGGACUAUGGCCGCAAGGUUAAAACUCAAAGGAAUUGACGGGGACCCGCACAAGCAGCGGAGCGUGUGGUUUAAUUCGAUGCUACACGAAGAACCUUACCCAGGUUUGACAUACAGGUAGUAGUGAAGCGAAAGCGGAACGAUCCUUCGGGAAGCCUGAACAGGUGCUGCAUGGCUGUCGUCAGCUCGUGCCGUGAGGUGUUUGGUUAAGUCCACUAACGAGCGCAACCCCUGUCGUCAGUUACAUGUGUCUGGCGAGACUGCCGGUCUUAAACCGGAGGAAGGUGGGGAUGACGUCAAGUCAGCAUGGCCUUUAUAUCUGGG